RNAcentral lists this transfer RNA (18 nucleotides) under Lionepha erasa. RNAcentral's name for it is "partial tRNA-Leu". The record is from RNAcentral. RNAcentral also lists the same sequence under 1 other name. Lineage: Eukaryota; Metazoa; Arthropoda; Insecta; Coleoptera; Carabidae.
UAUUCUUUUGUUAGAAUA